AUUGAACGCUGGCGGCAGGCCUAACACAUGCAAGUCGAGCGGAUGAUGGUAUCUUGCUUCUGGUUUCAGCGGCGGACGGGUGAGUAAUUCCUAUUAAUCUGCCUGCUAGUGCUGGAUAACGUCCGUAAUCGGGCGCUAAUACCGCAUACGUCCUGAGGGUGCUCGUGGGGGUUCUUCUGCCCUUUCGCUUUCAGUUGUUCCUAGGUCGUCUUAGCUAGUUGGUGGGGUAAAGCUCUACCAAGGCGACGAUCAGUCACUCGUCUUAGAGGAUGAUCAGUGACACUGGAAGUGAGACACGGUCCAGACUACGACGGGAAGCAGCAGCGGGGAAUAUUGGAAAAUGGGCGAAAGCAUGAUCCAGCAAUGCCGCGUGUGUGAAGAAGGUCUUGGGAUGGUAAAGCACUUUAAGUUGGGAGGAAGGGCAGUAAGUUAAUAACAUGAUGUAAUGACGUUACCAACAGAAUAAGCACCGGCUAACUUCGUG
RNAcentral lists this ribosomal RNA (484 nucleotides) under uncultured bacterium. RNAcentral's name for it is "partial 16S ribosomal RNA". It matches the Rfam family "Bacterial small subunit ribosomal RNA", at positions 30 to 507 of the family's 1533-position model. The record is from RNAcentral.